This 250-nucleotide ribosomal RNA is filed under the name uncultured prokaryote. RNAcentral's name for it is "partial 16S ribosomal RNA". It matches the Rfam family "Bacterial small subunit ribosomal RNA", at positions 524 to 773 of the family's 1533-position model. The record is from RNAcentral.
UACGGGGGGUGCAAGCGUUGUCCGGAACCAUUGGGCGUAAAGCGUUCGUAGGCGGUACAUUAAGUCUGGUGUUAAAUCCUCGGGCUCAACUCGGGGGUAGCAUUGGAUACUGGUGAACUAGAAUGCGGUAGAGGUUAAGGGAAUUCCUGGUGUAGCGGUGAAAUGCGUAGAUAUCAGGAGGAACACCGGAGGCGAAAGCGCUUAACCGGGCCGAAAUUGACGCUGAGGAACGAAAGCCGGGGGAGCAAAU